Molecule: ribosomal RNA, 253 nt
Filed under: uncultured bacterium
Lineage: Bacteria
Description: partial 16S ribosomal RNA
Rfam family: Bacterial small subunit ribosomal RNA
Source: RNAcentral
GACAGAGGGGGCAAGCGUUGCUCGGAAUUACUGGGCGUAAAGGGCGCGUAGGCGGGAUAGCAAGUCGGUCGUGAAAUCCUUCGGCUCAACCGAAGAACGUCGAUCGAUACUGCUGUUCUUGAGGGUUGCAGAGGAGACUGGAAUUCCCGGUGUAGCGGUGAAAUGUGUAGAGAUCGGGAGGAACACCGGUGGCGAAGGCGGGUCUCUGGGCAAUUCCUGACGCUGAGGCGCGAAAGCGUGGGGAGCAAACGGG